Labeo rohita (rohu) is the source of this 537-nucleotide long non-coding RNA. RefSeq lists it as uncharacterized. The record is from RefSeq and is a predicted model, not a curated record. Lineage: Eukaryota; Metazoa; Chordata; Actinopteri; Cypriniformes; Cyprinidae. The transcript is spliced from 4 exons.
UGUGACGGCCGAAAAACAGGAGGAGGACCACCUCCUCCAGAAUACACUGUGGCAGAGGAGUUGGCUCUAAGUAACAAUGAGGGGCGACCAAUAAUGGAUGGUAUUUCAGGUGCUAGACAGUCUGACCCUGGUGCUGGCUCCUCUAAGCAAGUAACAGUGGGUAUGUGUCCAAAGCCUUACUACAUUAUUUAUUUUUGUAUUACUAACUAUGUUAUGCAGUAGAUGGAAACACAGUGGCCCUGCUAAAGCCAUCACACAUACAUGCAGUCUCCCAGACAGAGAGUGUAACAAAUGAGGAGACACUGUCUGCCUGUUCUGAGACUGAAGGCACUGGGCUUGCUGAGGAUUUUUCACAACCUACCGCUGAACCUGAGGCCUCUACCUCAAUGGGAUUCAAAAGGAAUGUGAACAAGGUGGAAACUGACUCAGUCAGGGCCCUUUACAAAAGAAAAAUGGAAAUAGACUGUACACUGAAGGAGCUUGACUGUGAGCUGAGGAGACUCCAAAUAAAAAAAAUUAAACUGGAGAUUAAACAGC